UACGUAGGUGGCGAGCGUUAUCCGGAUUUAUUGGGCGUAAAGCGUCCGCAGCCGGUUUAUUAAGUCCAAAAUCAAAGCCCGAAGCUCAACUUCGGUUCGUUUUGGAAACUGAUAGGCUAGAGUGUGGUAGAGGCAAGUGGAACUUCUAGUGUAGCGGUAAAAUGCGUAGAUAUUAGAAAGAACACCAGUGGCGAAGGCGACUUGCUGGGCCACCACUGACGGUCAGGGACGAAAGCGUGGGGAGCAAAUAG
RNAcentral lists this ribosomal RNA (251 nucleotides) under uncultured bacterium. Its description in RNAcentral is "partial 16S ribosomal RNA". It matches the Rfam family "Bacterial small subunit ribosomal RNA", at positions 524 to 775 of the family's 1533-position model. The record is from RNAcentral.